UUGGAGCAUUGAGGCAACCACUGAUAGCAUAAAUAUUUUGAGAGCCACCAUAAUUCCUUUCUGCAGGAAAUUUCAUUAAGUGUCAGAGUCAGAAGAUCAAGUCAGAACUCAUUAUUUACAGACUUAGAGAUAAAUUCCAGCUGCAAACCAUGAUAGUGACUCUGGGUUGUGUGUUUGACUUUCUGGUUGACAGGAUGUUAGAUUGAGUGCCUACUCAUCCUUCCUUUCAUUUCUACACCCAAAUUGCUGUGCAGUGAAAAAUGAUUUUCAAUAUAACUCCAAGAUAGAGUAUGAAAGCCAUCAAAAGAAGACACCUAAGCUCACCGUAUUAUAUUUAUAAAGAUUUUCAUCCUUGAAGUUUUUGGCAUUCAGGGCGAGAGGAAUUAACUGAGCUGUAGCAGGACUGGAUGAGGUUUUCCCCACAAGGAACUGGAAGACUGCUUAAAAUCUUUGGUGUGUAAUGUAGACUGUCCAUGUUUUGUAACUAAAGGUUUGUGUCUCAGAAUGGUGAGUGGUGUAUAUAUAGGUUGCUAUUGAUUUAUACAGAAAGAUCAAAU
Ictidomys tridecemlineatus (thirteen-lined ground squirrel) is the source of this 557-nucleotide non-coding RNA. NCBI's taxonomy places the organism in Eukaryota, Metazoa, Chordata, Mammalia, Rodentia, Sciuridae. The record is from RefSeq and is a predicted model, not a curated record.